GUUGACCUUACAGCAAAUUAUCAUUCUACAGGAAGAAAACCAUUGUCAACUG
This 52-nucleotide non-coding RNA is filed under the name Dictyostelium discoideum. RNAcentral describes it as "Class I RNA from Dictyostelium". It matches the Rfam family "Class I RNA from Dictyostelium". Lineage: Eukaryota; Evosea; Eumycetozoa; Dictyosteliales; Dictyosteliaceae. The record is from Rfam by way of RNAcentral. RNAcentral also lists the same sequence under 1 other name.